CUUUACCCCAUCUGCUCGGGUCAUAGAGAACCUGCUCCGGCCCCUCCUGCUGCUACGCCCAGAGUGAAGACUUGCGGGGGGCUUGGAGGCCUGCUAGCCUUCUGGCCCCCUGGCACCCUUGCCUGCCAUGUACUUGGUUGCUGCACUACAUGUAAAAGCUCAAUAAAAGCCUGAGAAACCCACCGAGGGCUCCAGGGUUCUCCUUUACCCCAUCUGCAUAGAAUCAUAGAAAACCUUCUCUGUCGCCAUCCUGCCACUACAGACAGAAAAACAACGGAAGAUCUAUACUCCCUUCUCUGAUCCAGCCCAACCUGUGGCAUACAGGUUCUGCCUGCAAGAACAUGAGGCACCGCCAAAUGUGGACAGCUGUAACAAGACUGCCCCUUCCUGGGAUGUCACUGAGAGACAAGGGUAAACAGAAACCUUUCCUAUGUGAAGAACUUGGAGCAAUUCACCUGUCUAUUCAUGUUGCUUGGAAAGAGAAAUGACCAAAAUUAUAAUAUUAUACUAAUUCAUGUUCUGUGGUUUGAUAGUCAAGGACUUGGAACCAGCUUGGAAAACUGAUGAUGAAAAAAUUUGGGAAAGAGCAAUAAGAAACAACAGUGAAAAGUGAUAUUUUAGAAAUGUUCAUCUGGAGGAAACUGGAAAAUUGAGAGGAUGAGAAAGGAAGAAGUGUUUCUUUUGAGCAAUCAUUACCCAGUACGCAGUAAGGCCUCAAGAAAAUAUUUGGGAAGAGCAUUGGAGAUGGGUGUUCAAUUUAAAGAGUUGCCAGGAGUAAUCAAGUCUCCCAAAGAACAAAAGCCUGGGCUCAGACUGUUUUACUGGUGAGUUCUACCAUGCCUUCAAAGAUG
Molecule: long non-coding RNA, 851 nt
Organism: Talpa occidentalis (Iberian mole)
Lineage: Eukaryota; Metazoa; Chordata; Mammalia; Eulipotyphla; Talpidae
Exons: 4
Source: RefSeq, a predicted model, not a curated record